CCUUGAAGGAGCAGGAGCAGCACACACGCCAACCCGCUGGAGAGAUUCCCGGUUCCAGGUGGGAUUCGGAGCAGGGCGUGUGGCGGGGAGCAGAGACGUGGCACCAGCAGGACAGCAGGACGGCACAGAUGGGCCUGGAAAAUGUGUUUGCAUACUAUCCCCCUGCCUCAGCCUUGUUCUGGCGGCUCCCACUGCAUCUGGCCGCCUCUGCCUCCAUCAGUGGCCUCCCUAUGCCUGACAAGGAUGGGCCAGAAAGAAGAACAUGGCACAAGCCAAGAUGUGACCAUGGAACGGAGCGUGAUGUCCAGGGAUUGUUGAUCAGGUCACCCACUGAUUUGAAACAACUCCGUAACAGUUUGGGAAGUCAGCAGCAAAGUCACUCUUCAGCCUGGCCAUUGGAAACUUCUGGAUAGGAACGAGUCUAAGAGAAGAGGGCUUCCUGUUCCAAUCAAGCCUUGUGUGUGCAAAGCUGAAUACUGGGUUGACAUUUUCAUCAAGCUGUCCAGCACAAGCCUAAGAUCUCCUUCCUGGUCACUCACUGCUAGUUCAGAUGCUUGAACUCCAGGAACUGCACCUUCCCUCAGAGAACCAGCACAUCCAAGACUCUCAUGCUGAGCCCUGAUUUUCAAAGAACAAAAUGAAAUUCAUAAGGAAGCACUACAUUAAAUGAAUG
Long non-coding RNA from Varanus komodoensis (Komodo dragon), 673 nucleotides. RefSeq lists it as uncharacterized. The transcript is spliced from 5 exons. The record is from RefSeq and is a predicted model, not a curated record. NCBI's taxonomy places the organism in Eukaryota, Metazoa, Chordata, Lepidosauria, Squamata, Varanidae.